AGCGAACGUUAGCGGCGCGCCUAACACAUGCAAGUCGCACGAGAAGAGGGCAACCUCUGAAAGUGGCGCACGGGUGCGUAACACGUAGAUAACCUGCCCUUCGCAGGGGGAUAACGUUCC
This 120-nucleotide ribosomal RNA is filed under the name uncultured bacterium. RNAcentral's name for it is "partial 16S ribosomal RNA". It matches the Rfam family "Bacterial small subunit ribosomal RNA", at positions 29 to 152 of the family's 1533-position model. The record is from RNAcentral.